Molecule: ribosomal RNA, 373 nt
Filed under: uncultured organism
Description: partial 16S ribosomal RNA
Rfam family: Bacterial small subunit ribosomal RNA
Source: RNAcentral
GGGGGGGGGGCAAGCGUUGUUCGGAAUUACUGGGCGUAAAGGGCGCGCAGGCGGCCUGGCAAGUCCUACGUGAAAUCCCACAGCUCAACUGUGGAACUGCGUGGGAUACUGCUAGGCUUGAGUCCGGGAGAGGAGAGUGGAAUUCCCAGUGUAGCGGUGAAAUGCGUAGAUAUUGGGAGGAACACCGGUGGCGAAGGCGGCUCUCUGGACCGGUACUGACGCUGAGGCGCGAAAGCUAGGGGAGCAAACGGGAUUAGAUACCCCGGUAGUCCUAGCCGUAAACUUUGAGCACUUGGUGUGGCGGGUAUCGACCCCUGCCGUGCCGAAGCUAACGCAUUAAGUGCUCCGCCUGGGGAGUACGGUCGCAAGGCUG